This 439-nucleotide ribosomal RNA is filed under the name uncultured bacterium. RNAcentral describes it as "bacterial SSU rRNA". It matches the Rfam family "Bacterial small subunit ribosomal RNA", at positions 339 to 794 of the family's 1533-position model. The record is from RNAcentral.
UUACGGGAGGCAGCAGUGGGGAAUAUUGGACAAUGGGCGCAAGCCUGAUCCAGCAAUGCCGCGUGAGUGAUGAAGGCCUUAGGGUUGUAAAGCUCUUUCACACGCGACGAUGAUGACGGUAGCGUGAGAAGAAGCCCCGGCUAACUCCGUGCCAGCAGCCGCGGUAAUACGGAGGGGGCAAGCGUUGUUCGGAAUUACUGGGCGUAAAGGGCGCGCAGGCGGCUGCUCAAGUCAGGCGUGAAAGGCCUGGGCUCAACCCGGGAAUUGCGCUUGAGACUGGGCUGGCUUGAGUGCGGGAGAGGAUGGUGGAAUUCCCAGUGUAGAGGUGAAAUUCGUAGAUAUUGGGAAGAACACCGGUGGCGAAGGCGGCCAUCUGGACCGCAACUGACGCUGAGGCGCGAAAGCGUGGGGAGCAAACAGGAUUAGAUACCCCGGUAGC